CACCCCUCAACAAAGCGAUGGCACGCUCCUUCGCAUGCCAUGCUUUCAUAUAAUUUAUAUCCACACCAUAUACAGCUUUCAUUUCUUCAAUGAUGUCUCCGGGUGUGUGCCUUCUCUUAUAGUUAACUAGUUUUGGAGCUAUGAAUUCACAUACAAAAGAAGUUGUCGCAAAAAUAUUCUGCAGCACCUUAUCCCUCAAAUUGCAUGUAUGUUCUGGAUUAAAUUUCCAAAUCAUAAAAACAACUAUUUUUUUGUAAUUAGAUGCUUCCAACUUCCACGUACAUUCCUCAUUGUAACAAAGGAGUACAUAGCUGAAACAUAAAAAACACUAUUCAAAUGAAUAUAUUUUGCAUC
This 354-nucleotide long non-coding RNA is filed under the name Capsicum annuum. RNAcentral's name for it is "long non-coding RNA (CANN_LNC003417)". The record is from RNAcentral. Lineage: Eukaryota; Viridiplantae; Streptophyta; Magnoliopsida; Solanales; Solanaceae.